Molecule: long non-coding RNA, 681 nt
Organism: Amphiprion ocellaris (clown anemonefish)
Lineage: Eukaryota; Metazoa; Chordata; Actinopteri; Pomacentridae
Source: Ensembl
GGAAUGAUUGACAGGUCCUAUGGAGGAGGCAGCAGAGACUCUGCUCUCCUCGUUUGGAUUAAUUCUGAUAUAAUAACUGUUGGUUUAUUUAUCAGUGGAGCAGCAGAAGAUUUUCCACAGUUUUCCUGCCCGUUGGCUUGUUUUAACCAGUUUUCUACCUUCGGCUGAUUCUACCAGCAGACAUUGAAAGGACUCUAAUAGUUCGAGUGAAAGUAGCAGUUCCUCCUUAAGGUCAGAGAUUGCAGCAUCUGAGGGCCUCUUCAAAAGAAGACGUAGUUGAUGAAGACGUUCUGGAGCAGGACCAGAAAGACCACGACGAAGCAGCCUUGAGAUCUUAGGCAGCGUCUCCCUCGGUUCUGCCGGUCCAGCUCAGCUUCCCCUCAGAAGAAGUUCCACCAGAUGAAGGAGCCUUUUGAGAAGCAGCUGGCAUCGUGAUUGGACUGUACUUUGGUCUGUUCCAAUCCAGCUUCAGCUCCAGAGACGGCAGGUGGGACGAGUCAACGGAGGCCGGGUGGACGAAGGCAUGCAGCUGAGUACAAUCCAGAAAACAACAGAGGAGGAGUGCAGCGGCCCAGAGCCAGAACAAACAGUAGCAUCAUAUGUCUCUUAGAAAACAUCAUAGUAUAGCCUUUGGUAUGAAAAAACGCCAUCAUAUACAUCGUAUAUUGUACAAAUAACAAG